UACGGAGGGCGCGAGCGUUAAUAGGAAUUACUGGGCGUAAAGGGUGCGUAGGUUGUUAGAUAGGUUAUCUGUGAAAUACCUGGGCUUAACCUGGGCAGGUCAGAUGAGACUGUAUAACUAGAGUAUGGGAGAGGGUAGUGGAAUUUCCGGUGUAGCGGUGAAAUGCGUAGAGAUCGGAAGGAACACCAGUGGCGAAGGCGGCUAACUGGCCUAAUACUGACACUGAGGCACGAAAGCGUGGGGAGCAAACAGG
Molecule: ribosomal RNA, 253 nt
Filed under: uncultured bacterium
Lineage: Bacteria
Description: partial 16S ribosomal RNA
Rfam family: Bacterial small subunit ribosomal RNA
Source: RNAcentral